Molecule: Y RNA, 113 nt
Filed under: Carlito syrichta (Philippine tarsier)
Lineage: Eukaryota; Metazoa; Chordata; Mammalia; Primates; Tarsiidae
Description: Y RNA (ENSTSYG00000036556.1)
Rfam family: Y RNA
About the family: Y RNAs are components of the Ro ribonucleoprotein particle (Ro RNP), in association with Ro60 and La proteins. The Y RNAs and Ro60 and La proteins are well conserved, but the function of the Ro RNP is not known.
Source: Rfam by way of RNAcentral
AGCUCAUCCAAAGGUAGUGAGUCAUUGCAAUUGAUUGUUCACUGUCAGUUGCUGAUUGAAUUCCUUGUUCUACUCUUCUACCCCUUCUCACUACUGCAUUCUACUAGUCUUAA